AAUUCAGCUGAAUGAGAUUAAACACCUCCCAGGAUUGCUCUUGGCUUCUUUGUGGUGGUUGUCACCUUUUACCCAUCUGAGCUGCAGGACUACAAAAUCAUUAUCCCUUCGAUUCUGCUGUUCUGCAUGCCAGCAUUUUGCUUUUUCCUUGUUCCUCUGCACGGCUGGGAACAUUCCUCAGAGAAAAGAAAAUUAUGUAGAGUAAACGCAAAGGUCAACUCUAACAUCAAAGGGACUCUUUUCUCCACAACAAAGACUAUUUAAAUAAAAAAUAGAGGUA
This 280-nucleotide long non-coding RNA is filed under the name Anser brachyrhynchus (Pink-footed goose). Its description in RNAcentral is "lncRNA (ENSABRG00000013944.1)". Lineage: Eukaryota; Metazoa; Chordata; Aves; Anseriformes; Anatidae. The record is from RNAcentral.